UACACCAAGAGGUCUGGGGUUCGA
RNAcentral lists this non-coding RNA (24 nucleotides) under Arabidopsis thaliana (thale cress). Lineage: Eukaryota; Viridiplantae; Streptophyta; Magnoliopsida; Brassicales; Brassicaceae. The record is from RNAcentral.